UCGGCUGGGAACUCUAAGGAGACUGCCGGUGAUAAACCGGAGGAAGGUGGGGACGACGUCAAGUCAUCAUGGCCCUUAUGGGUAGGGCUACACACGUGCUACAAUGGGCGGUACAGAGGGCUGCGACCUCGUGAGAGCAAGCAAAUCCCAGAAAGCCGUUCCUAGUCCGGAUUGCAGUCUGCAACUCGACUGCAUGAAGUCGGAAUCGCUAGUAAUCGCGAAUCAGAAUGUCGCGGUGAAUACGUUCCCGGGCCUUGUACACACCGCCCGUCACACCAUGGGAGUGGGUUGCAAAAGAAGUGGGUAGUCUAACCUUCGGGGGGGCGCUCACCACUUUGUGAUUCAUGACUGGGGUG
RNAcentral lists this ribosomal RNA (356 nucleotides) under uncultured Methylococcaceae bacterium. RNAcentral's name for it is "bacterial SSU rRNA". It matches the Rfam family "Bacterial small subunit ribosomal RNA", at positions 1127 to 1482 of the family's 1533-position model. Lineage: Bacteria; Pseudomonadati; Pseudomonadota; Gammaproteobacteria; Methylococcales; Methylococcaceae. The record is from RNAcentral.